RNAcentral lists this ribosomal RNA (469 nucleotides) under uncultured bacterium. Its description in RNAcentral is "partial 16S ribosomal RNA". It matches the Rfam family "Bacterial small subunit ribosomal RNA", at positions 28 to 507 of the family's 1533-position model. The record is from RNAcentral.
GACGAACGCUGGCGGCGUGCUUAACACAUGCAAGUCGAACGGAAAGGCCCUGCUUGCAGGGUGCUCGAGUGGCGAACGGGUGAGUAACACGUGGGUGAUCUGCCCCUUACUUUGGGAUAAGCCUGGGAAACUGGGUCUAAUACUGGAUAGGACCAUGCUGUAGGUGGUGUGGUGGAAAGAUUAGUUUCGGUAAGGGAUGAGCUCGCGGCCUAUCAGCUUGUUGGUGGGGUAAUGGCCGACCAAGGCGUCGACGGGUAGCCGGCCUGAGAGGGUGGACGGCCACAUUGGGACUGAGAUACGGCCCAGACUCCUACGGGAGGCAGCAGUGGGGAAUAUUGCACAAUGGGCGCAAGCCUGAUGCAGCGACGCCGCGUGGGGGAUGACGGCCUUCGGGUUGUAAACUCCUUUCAGCCAUGACGAAGCCCUUGUGGUGACGGUAGUGGUAGAAGAAGCACCGGCUAACUACGUG